This 1087-nucleotide unclassified non-coding RNA is filed under the name Hevea brasiliensis (rubber tree). The record is from RNAcentral. Lineage: Eukaryota; Viridiplantae; Streptophyta; Magnoliopsida; Malpighiales; Euphorbiaceae.
AGAAAAUUCACAACCCUAGGUCUAAUGUUCAAUUAUGGCUAAUAUCUUUAUUAAUUGUAUGUGUGUACUUUAAAAUUUGUGCCAAUUACAUGGCCUAGGGACUAGGGAGGGUCUGUUAGUGCUUUUAGAUUUGUUGAUGUGACACAUAUUUUGAUCCUAAAAAAAGUAGUCUUUUGAUGUGGCAUUUGAAUGACAAGAAAUUCCAAUGGCCAACUUUUGUUGUCUGUUGAGUGUUCAUUGGAGUAAAAUGAAUUUUAAAUGUUGUUUAAGUAGUAUUGAAGUUGUUGAUGUUACAUGGAGGUCUUAGCUCUACCCUGCCUUUUGUUUUUCUUCUAGAAUAAUCAUAAGCAUUUUCAAAAUUCAGAAAAACUAUGCAAGAGGCCGCUAGUGAACAAUUGGAAAAAGCUCUAUCCCUCUUAUGGAAAGUGGAAAUAGAAGCAAAUUAGUUUCAAUGGAUUUUUCCUUUGCGACCUAUUUUACUGACAUGAUUUAUCACUAGAUGUAAGUGGGGUUUAGUUUAAGGUUGAACUUUGAGAAGGUUUAUGAUUAGUUGUGCUAAGGUUUUAUGGUAAAAAGUUAUGGAUAAAAUGGAGUGCACUUAUCUCCAAAUUUUGAACUUAGCCAGUAUGAAGCUACAUAAUAGGACCUAGUUUUUCCCACUUAGCAAUUCAAUGACACAUGAGGUUUAGCAGCUAGUUUAGGGUUAUUAAUGCUUAACCAUCCAUGCAUUUUGUUACUAUUAGAGCCUAAAACUUGGUUUGACGACUUGAGUUGGGUAAAGUGAUCCUUCAUCUCCUUAUUGUUGAUAUUCUUGAUCGAGUGAUUGAUAGGGAUGUUGUGAUUGCAUGAUUCAAGAUACAAGAGUGGGGUCUGAUGAAACUAUUGCUGUCUCACCUACAAUUUAUUAAGGACUUCAUUUUCUUCUUUCCUUAUAGUGUGGCUAGUUUUGUCAAAGUCGUAUAUAACUUGCAUAUUGUUGAGGAAGUGUCUAGUUUAAGAAUUAUUCAAUCAUCGUAAAACUAGCUCUGUAUUUGCAUUUAGAUGUUGUUCAAGGUUGACAUCCUUAGUAGGUCAUAGUUUAGGUUUG